AUUGAACGCUGGCGGCAGGCCUAACACAUGCAAGUCGAGCGAGCGGCGGACGGGUGCGUAAUGUCUGGGAAACUGCCUGAUGGCGGGGGAUAACUACUGUAAACGGUCGCUAAUACCACCUACCAUCAGAUGUUCCCAGAUUGGAUGCGCUAGUAGUUGGGGUAACGGCUAACCUAGGCGACUAUCCCUAGCUGGUCUGAGAGGAUGACCAGCCACACUGGAACUGAGCCACGGUCCAGACUCCUACGGGAGGAAGCAGUGGGAAAUAUGCCACAAUGGGCGCAAGCCUGAUGCAGCAAUACCGCGUGGUUGAAGAAGGCCUUCGGGUUGUAAAGCUCUUUCAGCGGGGAGGCGUUACCCGCAGAAGAAGCACCGGCUAACUCCGUGCCAGCAGCCGCGGUAAUAC
RNAcentral lists this ribosomal RNA (406 nucleotides) under uncultured bacterium. RNAcentral describes it as "partial 16S ribosomal RNA". It matches the Rfam family "Bacterial small subunit ribosomal RNA", at positions 30 to 526 of the family's 1533-position model. The record is from RNAcentral.